RNAcentral lists this ribosomal RNA (778 nucleotides) under uncultured Neocallimastigales. RNAcentral's name for it is "partial large subunit ribosomal RNA". It matches the Rfam family "Eukaryotic large subunit ribosomal RNA", at positions 24 to 611 of the family's 3401-position model. Lineage: Eukaryota; Fungi; Neocallimastigomycota; Neocallimastigomycetes; Neocallimastigales. The record is from RNAcentral.
UACGACUACAUAUCAGGCAUAUCAAUAAGCGGAGGAAAAGAAACUAACAAGGAUUCCCCUAAUAACGGCGAGUGAAGCGGGAAGAGCUCAAACUUGAAAUCUUAAAGGGUUUCCCUUUACGAAUUGUAGUUUAAAGAAGUGUUUUCUGUUGGAGUUUCGGUAAAAGUUCUUUGGAAUAGGACAUCAUAGAGGGUGAGAAUCCCGUAUUUGACCGUUACUUUCCAGCUGUGUGAUACACUUUCAAAGAGUCGGAUUGUUUGGGAAUGCAGUCCAAGAUGGGUGGUAAAUUUCAUCUAAAGCUAAAUAUUGGCGAGAGACCGAUAGCGAACAAGUACCGUGAGGGAAAGAUGAAAAGAACUUUGAAAAGAGAGUUAAACAGUACGUGAAAUUGUCAAAAGGGAAGCGUUUGACACCAGUGUUGUUUAGUUGAAAAUCAAUUCAAUAGUUUUUGAUUCUAAGUAGUAUUGACUUCAUCAGCUUGCUGCUUUCUUCUCAGAAAUUAUUGAAUGCACUUUUCAGUUAACAAGUCAACAUCAAUUUCUUUUGUUGUAAAAGGGUAAGAGGAAGGGAUGGCUUUCUCUUCGGCGCAAGUGUUUAUAGCCUUGUAGCCUCUGCAAUCGGAGAGAUUGAGGUCUGCAGCGUAGAUCCUUCGGGGUUAGAUACGCUUGUGCUAAGCUAUAGCCUUGUAUAGACAACUUGUUGACUAUGCUCAGUCAUGUAGCUUACUCGCUGAUGCUAUUUUACCUACGCUUAGGAUGUUGAACGCGCACAGAGUCUC